UUGAAGAGUUUGAUCAUGGCUCAGAUUGAACGCUGGCGGCAGGCCUAACACAUGCAAGUCGAGCGGUAGCACAGAGAGCUUGCUCUCGGGUGACGAGCGGCGGACGGGUGAGUAAUGUCUGGGAAACUGCCUGAUGGAGGGGGAUAACUACUGGAAACGGUAGCUAAUACCGCAUAACGUCGCAAGACCAAAGAGGGGGACCUUCGGGCCUCUUGCCAUCAGAUGUGCCCAGAUGGGAUUAGCUAGUAGGUGGGGUAACGGCUCACCUAGGCGACGAUCCCUAGCUGGUCUGAGAGGAUGACCAGCCACACUGGAACUGAGACACGGUCCAGACUCCUACGGGAGGCAGCAGUGGGGAAUAUUGCACAAUGGGCGCAAGCCUGAUGCAGCCAUGCCGCGUGUAUGAAGAAGGCCUUCGGGUUGUAAAGUACUUUCAGCGGGGAGGAAGGCGAUAAGGUUAAUAACCUUGUCGAUUGACGUUACCCGCAGAAGAAGCACCGGCUAACUCCGUGCCAGCAGCCGCGGUAAUACGGAGGGUGCAAGCGUUAAUCGGAAUUACUGGGCGUAAAGCGCACGCAGGCGGUCUGUCAAGUCGGAUGUGAAAUCCCCGGGCUCAACCUGGGAACUGCAUUCGAAACUGGCAGGCUAGAGUCUUGUAGAGGGGGGUAGAAUUCCAGGUGUAGCGGUGAAAUGCGUAGAGAUCUGGAGGAAUACCGGUGGCGAAGGCGGCCCCCUGGACAAAGACUGACGCUCAGGUGCGAAAGCGUGGGGAGCAAACAGGAUUAGAUACCCUGGUAGUCCACGCCGUAAACGAUGUCGACUUGGAGGUUGUGCCCUUGAGGCGUGGCUUCCGGAGCUAACGCGUUAAGUCGACCGCCUGGGGAGUACGGCCGCAAGGUUAAAACUCAAAUGAAUUGACGGGGGCCCGCACAAGCGGUGGAGCAUGUGGUUUAAUUCGAUGCAACGCGAAGAACCUUACCUACUCUUGACAUCCAGAGAACUUAGCAGAGAUGCUUUGGUGCCUUCGGGAACUCUGAGACAGGUGCUGCAUGGCUGUCGUCAGCUCGUGUUGUGAAAUGUUGGGUUAAGUCCCGCAACGAGCGCAACCCUUAUCCUUUGUUGCCAGCGGUUAGGCCGGGAACUCAAAGGAGACUGCCAGUGAUAAACUGGAGGAAGGUGGGGAUGACGUCAAGUCAUCAUGGCCCUUACGAGUAGGGCUACACACGUGCUACAAUGGCGCAUACAAAGAGAAGCGACCUCGCGAGAGCAAGCGGACCUCAUAAAGUGCGUCGUAGUCCGGAUUGGAGUCUGCAACUCGACUCCAUGAAGUCGGAAUCGCUAGUAAUCGUAGAUCAGAAUGCUACGGUGAAUACGUUCCCGGGCCUUGUACACACCGCCCGUCACACCAUGGGAGUGGGUUGCAAAAGAAGUAGGUAGCUUAACCUUCGGGAGGGCGCUUACCACUUUGUGAUUCAUGACUGGGGUGAAGUCGUAACAAGGUAACCGUAGGGGAACCUGCGGUUGGAUCACCUCCUU
RNAcentral lists this ribosomal RNA (1536 nucleotides) under Enterobacter asburiae. RNAcentral describes it as "bacterial SSU rRNA". It matches the Rfam family "Bacterial small subunit ribosomal RNA". The record is from RNAcentral. Lineage: Bacteria; Pseudomonadati; Pseudomonadota; Gammaproteobacteria; Enterobacterales; Enterobacteriaceae.